CAAGAGCGUAUGUAAAAGUUGUUGCAGUUAAAAAGCUCGUAGUUGAACCUUGGGUCUGGUUGGCCGGUCCGCUUUUUUGCGAGUACUGGAUUCAACCGAGCCUUUCCUUCUGGCUAACCAGUCGUUUCGGCGGCUGGCGAACCAGGAUUUUUACUUUGAGAAAAUUAGAGUGUUCAAAGCAGGCAUUAGCUUGAAUAUAUUAGCAUGGAAUAAUAGAAUAGGACGUUAUGGUUCUAUUUUGUUGGUUUCUAGGACCAUCGUAAUGAUUAAUAGGGACGGUCGGGGGCAUCAGUAUUCAGUUGUCAGAGGUGAAAUUCUUGGAUUUACUGAAGACUAACUACUGCGAAAGCAUUUGCCAAGGACGUUUUCAUUAA
Molecule: ribosomal RNA, 374 nt
Filed under: uncultured eukaryote
Lineage: Eukaryota
Description: partial 18S ribosomal RNA
Rfam family: Eukaryotic small subunit ribosomal RNA
Source: RNAcentral